UUUCUUGUUGAACAGGACUGUAUUCCUAACAUGCUACAUUUUAAAAGGAGUUCUCAGAGCUGCCGAUCUUACAGUAGAAGUUGAGUAGUAGCCUAUAUCUCCUACAUGA
Molecule: small nucleolar RNA, 109 nt
Organism: Hyaena hyaena (striped hyena)
Lineage: Eukaryota; Metazoa; Chordata; Mammalia; Carnivora; Hyaenidae
Product: small nucleolar RNA U109
Exons: 1
Source: RefSeq, a predicted model, not a curated record